This 1024-nucleotide ribosomal RNA is filed under the name Escherichia coli. RNAcentral's name for it is "partial 23S ribosomal RNA". It matches the Rfam family "Bacterial large subunit ribosomal RNA", at positions 498 to 1526 of the family's 2925-position model. The record is from RNAcentral. Lineage: Bacteria; Pseudomonadati; Pseudomonadota; Gammaproteobacteria; Enterobacterales; Enterobacteriaceae.
GUACCGUGAGGGAAAGGCGAAAAGAACCCCGGCGAGGGGAGUGAAAAAGAACCUGAAACCGUGUACGUACAAGCAGUGGGAGCACGCUUAGGCGUGUGACUGCGUACCUUUUGUAUAAUGGGUCAGCGACUUAUAUUCUGUAGCAAGGUUAACCGAAUAGGGGAGCCGAAGGGAAACCGAGUCUUAACUGGGCGUUAAGUUGCAGGGUAUAGACCCGAAACCCGGUGAUCUAGCCAUGGGCAGGUUGAAGGUUGGGUAACACUAACUGGAGGACCGAACCGACUAAUGUUGAAAAAUUAGCGGAUGACUUGUGGCUGGGGGUGAAAGGCCAAUCAAACCGGGAGAUAGCUGGUUCUCCCCGAAAGCUAUUUAGGUAGCGCCUCGUGAAUUCAUCUCCGGGGGUAGAGCACUGUUUCGGCAAGGGGGUCAUCCCGACUUACCAACCCGAUGCAAACUGCGAAUACCGGAGAAUGUUAUCACGGGAGACACACGGCGGGUGCUAACGUCCGUCGUGAAGAGGGAAACAACCCAGACCGCCAGCUAAGGUCCCAAAGUCAUGGUUAAGUGGGAAACGAUGUGGGAAGGCCCAGACAGCCAGGAUGUUGGCUUAGAAGCAGCCAUCAUUUAAAGAAAGCGUAAUAGCUCACUGGUCGAGUCGGCCUGCGCGGAAGAUGUAACGGGGCUAAACCAUGCACCGAAGCUGCGGCAGCGACGCUGAUGCGUUGUUGGGUAGGGGAGCGUUCUGUAAGCCUGUGAAGGUGUGCUGUGAGGCAUGCUGGAGGUAUCAGAAGUGCGAAUGCUGACAUAAGUAACGAUAAAGCGGGUGAAAAGCCCGCUCGCCGGAAGACCAAGGGUUCCUGUCCAACGUUAAUCGGGGCAGGGUGAGUCGACCCCUAAGGCGAGGCCGAAAGGCGUAGUCGAUGGGAAACAGGUUAAUAUUCCUGUACUUGGUGUUACUGCGAAGGGGGGACGGAGAAGGCUAUGUUGGCCGGGCGACGGUUGUCCCGGUUUAAGCGUGUAGGCU